GCUAUCAUGGCAUACUGGUUUGAGCACUGGACUAUGACUCUGGAGACCAGGGUUCGAAUCCCUGCCCAGCC
Molecule: transfer RNA, 71 nt
Filed under: Phrynosoma platyrhinos (Desert horned lizard)
Lineage: Eukaryota; Metazoa; Chordata; Lepidosauria; Squamata; Phrynosomatidae
Description: tRNA-OTHER
Rfam family: tRNA (bases 8-64)
About the family: Transfer RNA (tRNA) molecules are approximately 80 nucleotides in length. Their secondary structure includes four short double-helical elements and three loops (D, anti-codon, and T loops).
Source: RNAcentral